RNAcentral lists this ribosomal RNA (403 nucleotides) under uncultured bacterium. RNAcentral describes it as "partial 16S ribosomal RNA". It matches the Rfam family "Bacterial small subunit ribosomal RNA", at positions 28 to 526 of the family's 1533-position model. The record is from RNAcentral.
GACGAACGCUGGCGGCGUGCCUAAUACAUGCAAGUCGAACGCAGUGGGGACGGGUGAGUAACACGUGGGUAACCUCCCAUCAGAGGGGAUAACACUUGGAAACAGGUGCUAAACCGAUACUGAUUGAUGGACCCGCUGUGCACUAGCUAGGUGGUGAGGUAACGGCUCACCAAGGCGACGAUGCAUAGCCGGCCUGAGAGGGGGAUCGGCCACACUGGGACUGAGACCCGGCCCAGACGCCUACGUGAGGACGCAGGAGGGAAUCUUGGGCAAUGGGCGAAAGUCUGACCGAGCAACGCCGCGUGAGUGAAGAAGGUUUUCGGAUCGUAAAACUCUGUUGGUAGAGAAGCGGUAUCUAACCAGAAAGCCACGGCUAACUACGUGCCAGCCGCCGCGGUAAUAC